Molecule: non-coding RNA, 444 nt
Organism: Macaca mulatta (Rhesus monkey)
Lineage: Eukaryota; Metazoa; Chordata; Mammalia; Primates; Cercopithecidae
Source: RefSeq, a predicted model, not a curated record
AUGGGCCCAGCGCCUGGCAUGCCCUCCCUGGGAGCUUGCUGGACCCAUGACCAGGGGUCUGGGAGGGCAGAGGACAGACCACAAGCACCCAGGAUAGCUCAGCACACACGGGUUCUCAGCUUCCCGUUCAUACAGAAACCUCAGACAAGAAGCACGUUGCCCAUUUUUCUUUAAGACCAACCCCAGACCACGAGAACGCUUUCUCUGCGGCAGCAGCACUCCAGCGCCCCUGCCUCCAGGCACCCCCGGCCUCCGCACUCCAGUGGCCCGGACCUGGCUGAGGCAGCUCCUGUGGUAGGUCAGGCCUCACAGACGGCUGGAAGAGCCAGUUCUGGGCUGGGCCUGUGCGAACAGGUGUCUGUUAGUCAGGGUUUUAGGAAUGCAGCCUUUGGAGCCUGCAGCAGGGAAUGGCGGCUCUGGGCCCUCAAGGGGCAGCCGGUGUAG